Long non-coding RNA from Patella vulgata (common limpet), 949 nucleotides. RefSeq lists it as uncharacterized. The transcript has 4 exons. The record is from RefSeq and is a predicted model, not a curated record. NCBI's taxonomy places the organism in Eukaryota, Metazoa, Mollusca, Gastropoda, Patellidae.
AUCUUGUUAUAUUACUGAUACAGAAAUAGUAAACCAACAUGAACGUGCUGAACUGUUUUUUAAACUGGAUAAAAUAACUGAUGUGGACGAUCUUUACGAAAUAAAGAAACCCAAUGGUAUUAUUCUAUUCCUAGGUUUUCCUGGCCAGUUUAAACUUUUAAACAGGUGGAUAAAUGAAUCAUAUAGAAUCAAUGUAGCUGUCAACAAUAUAACCUCAUUUAUAUUUCAACUAGAGGAAGUAACGUCACACGAUGCUGGUGUAUAUUGUUGUGCAUCUGGGGAACUUGAAGUACCUGGUUGUGGUAUAAAACUCAUAGUUACAGAUAAACCAAGUAUAAGAUUAGUUCCACCCGAUGAACAACCAGUUCUACAACAAGUGAAUGAUAAAUUAUUAGGGGAGCUAACUCUGACUUGUAACGUUACAUCAACAACCGAACCAACUGAUCAUAAUUUACCUAUGAUGUAUAUAUGGUUUAAACAUGGCAUAUAUUAUGGUAAUGGUAGUAUACUAAACGAUAGAGAUGUUGAUAUAAAUGAUAAAGGAGAUGAUAUAAUCUGUAUAGCUACAGAUGAUCCUGAUUGUAAAACUAGUUUACAGGAUUUAACACCUGGUUCUACACUGAACACAGUAGUUAAGGGACAUACAAGAUGUAAAGAUGUUUUGGGUACCUCUGAUGAUUUUAUUCUUCAACCAGAAUAUGGACCAUAUGAUAUACAAUUAAUCUAUGAUGAUACAAAUCUAAAACCUGAUGAAGAAAUAACGAAACGUGUAGGAGAGGAAUUAACAGUUAAUUGUAUGAGUGAUUGUGAUCCAGCAUGUAUUAUCAGUUGGUAUAAAGAUGGGAAGAUUUUAAGUUAUAAUACUCAACUCAUUCUACUAAAUCUACAAGAAUCAGAUGAUGGAGAUUAUACAUGCACAGUAUACAAUAUACAUGCUACCAGAAAUGUA